AGAUGUUGGGUUAAGUCCCGCAACGAGCGCAACCCUUUUCCUUACUUGCCAGCAUUUCGGAUGGGAACUUUAAGGAUACUGCCGGUGACAAACUGGAGGAAGGCGGGGACGACGUCAAGUCAUCAUGGCCCUUACGGCCAGGGCUACACACGUGCUACAAUGGUCGGUACAAAGGGUUGCUACACAGCGAUGUGAUGCUAAUCUCAAAAAGCCGAUCGUAGUCCGGAUUGGAGUCUGCAACUCGACUCCAUGAAGUCGGAAUCGCUAGUAAUCGCGGAUCAGAAUGCCGCGGUGAAUACGUUCCCGGGCCUUGUACACACCGCCCGUCACACCAUGGGAGUUUGUUGCACCAGAAGUAGCUAGCCUAACUGCAAAGAGGGCGGUUACCACGGUGUGGCCGAUGACUGGGGUG
This 412-nucleotide ribosomal RNA is filed under the name Acinetobacter baumannii OIFC109. RNAcentral's name for it is "bacterial SSU rRNA". It matches the Rfam family "Bacterial small subunit ribosomal RNA", at positions 1070 to 1482 of the family's 1533-position model. The record is from RNAcentral. Lineage: Bacteria; Pseudomonadati; Pseudomonadota; Gammaproteobacteria; Moraxellales; Moraxellaceae.